AUUCGUGGUAAAGACAUGUGCAAGUGACUCCUUCAACCAGAGGCGUCUGUCUAUAAAAUGCAGAGUGCUUUGGCUUCUUAGCUGGGUGUGCAUCUGUAGUUGGAUGCUAAGAUCACUAUCCUUGGACUACAAGUGUAGCUGAAUUUGAGAAUUGGAAUGUGCAUCCUGUAACAAAACAAUUUAAAACAUAGUCUAUCAAAUUCAUUUCCUUUCCUGUCUUCCCUGCCAGAACUGCAGUAGCAGUUCAUAGCAGCCUUUUAGUAAGGGCAAUCCCUUUCUGCAUUCCUAACCAGAGUCACAUCUGUCUGCUUAAAACACUCAAAUAUUCAGUUAUGUGUAUUUGGCUCAAGAGGUCUUUCCUUGUAUCAAUAGAACCAGCCCCCUCUGUUUUAUGUCCAGCACUCCCUCCUUCCCUCCUUCUAUUUCAUAUAGCAGUGCCUGAAUGACAUUUGGAAUCUGACAGUAUAUGUAAUGGGCAUUUUUAGUAGGGACUGUAAUUAAUGAUUAAUAUUUUAGCUGUGUUUGCAAGCUAAGUUUGAGUACUGGCAAAGCACAGUGUUGCCUAGAGUCAUGGGCUGAUGGAGCAGCAGAACUGUGAGCUUCAUUUAGGCAGAUAAACCCUCUGAGUCACACACAGGGACAGCAAAUCCAUGCCAGCACUGAGCUGCCUGGCUCUUGGAGCAUACAGCCUUCCUCUCACAGCUUCUGUGUCUGAUGUGAAGUGUUACUGGGAUCUGCCUCGUGAUGCUGGUAUCGUGAUUGAUCUAAUGUUCUUGUAAUGUUUAAUUAUGAAUUAAUUAUAGCAUUUAUUAUCGAUUUUUUUCUUAAUGUGUUUGCGUAAAUUAAUAGACAGCUCUACUGCUUAAUAGGGCUGCAGGAACAGUAACAGAAUGAGGGGAAGCAAGCUUGGGUACAGUGAGUACUGCUUUUAUGUUGUGGGUGCAGAACACAGGAAAAGGAGACAGGAAUAGAAGUCUGUGAGAAGGGAUCACACAGCCAUUACUUAACAUUUCCUUAGUCAGAGCUGCCCAGGAAUGCUCUCCUUGUGUCAUCCAAAGCCUUGGCUGGUCAGCAGACCUGAAGUUUGGAGAGGAGACUGACAGUGUUUGCUGGAAGCACUGAACAUCCCCCUGGCACUGGGAGCCUCGUGCAGCAGGUCCUCUGCAGACAGCCAGGGUUCAGAGGACCAGGAUUUGGAGGACCAUCUCUCAGUGCUGGUCCUUUCCAAGGAGAACAGUGCAGCCUCAGACCUCGAUGAAGGAUUUCUUUUUGAGCUACGGGUGCCUGUUGUCGUAGCCCAGCCUCAGCCACCUGCUGGCUGGCAGGCUCUACUGUCUGUCCAGGACAUUUGUCAGUGAGACCUGGUGGGGACUCAGCUAUGAAAGCAACAUCUGGGUUGCUUUGCUUGUUAGGGAUUCGUUAGGUUGGACAUCUCAGCUCUGUGAUGUUUUUUUUCUAAGACCUUCACUGGAAGCUGUAUCCUCCCAGCUUCAGUUUCCUCUGCCUGCAUGCUGCUGGCUUGGGGGCUCCUAGGGUUGCUUGUUUCAAACCUUUAUGCUAUCCAGGGACACUGUUAUAUAUUUUAUAAUAAAUCCUUUUCAUUCAUUGUUCAUUUAUUUUCAGAUAGCAUUUUCCUUCUACUGCUCUGAAAGCUCUUCUGUUCUUAGAUUUGAUGUUCACUUCUGUGAUUUGUCCUGAUGUUCUCUGCAAUUAUAAGUUUUAGUAGUGUUGAGGUGAACGUCUAAAUGAUUUGGUGGAAUGGAUCCAAAGUGACAUAAACAGGGUUGCUCAAUAGAUGAGAGCCCAAUCAUAUCCAUUAACACAGAGCUGACAUUCACCUUAUGUACGAGUGUAUGCAGAUUACAGUCCUUUGGCUCUGAUUUGCUCUUCACUUAGGUAUUUACAACCAGUUUGGGCUUUAGAGAGUGAUGCACUGAGGGUUAGACAAAGGUUUUAUUACCAGAAAUCACCCCGUUAGAUGGUUUGUGGGUAACGAAGUGGCAGAGGGACCAUUAUGAUCCUGUCACUGUAAAAUGGUAGGUAGCACAGCUCUACCUGCUGUGUUGUAUGUACUGCUGCUCUUCAUAUACAUGCACUGGGGGUAUGCUGAGCUGUAUUUCUCUAUGGUGUCCUCAUUCUGUUCUUAUAAUUGGUGGGGAGAGGGGAGAACCUUACUCGGUACAGCCUGGCCAUCUUCAUGGAAAAAAACACUUGAUGGUGCAUAAGCUUAAGAGGAGCAACACCUGAAUGUUCAUUAUGCGGGAUAUAUGUGCAGUGUAGCCCAGUGACAAUGGAUGCAAGCAUUCCUUCAUGGCAGUGGAUUAAGGCAUUGCCCUUCCUCACAUAUAUCAGACCAGCAAAAAUAAAAACACAUUUGUAUGCUCAAUGAUUUGAAGGCAGCAAGCACACCCCAUCCCAUCAUAUGUAAUCUGCUUUGGUGUUUCUAAGCAAAACAAAUAUUUCCUAAGGAGUUAUCAUGAACAGAUGGACUAACAUUCGUAAAACAGACAGUUCCCUUUUGAAGAGAUUUGUUUGAAUAAAAUAGAUUGUUUCCAUUGAGAUUUAAACUACAGUUUGCUUUAAUUAUUUUUAUAUUUGGCCAUUAUACUGUGAGCAUAUGAAAUGGGCAAAAUGCUGAGAAUAAUUAGGCAGAGUGGUCCUGAAUACGCUGGUGAAUCUGAAAAACCAUAUAUAAAAGAAAGCAGCUAUCUGUGGAGCUGCCAAUUCUACUUACAUAAGCCCAUCUGUUUACAUCUUCUCCUGUUCCCUGAAGAAGAAUACAUCUUAUGUGAAGAAUUCCCACCAGGUCCCUUAGACAUUUUAUCAUUCAAGAAUGUUCUUCCUGUUUGUUCUCUCUCUUUCCUUUAUAAGAAAAGAUAGAAUUAAUAUUUUCACUGCUGUCUCUUAGAACAUUUACAAGACAAAUGCUUGACAGCAUAUAAAAUUACAUGAAUUUCUUCUCUUCUGAUUCUGUAAUGAAUAAAAAUGUUUGCAAACCACUUAUAUACACCUUUGACUCACAGUGGCUUAUAGUCGUUUCUUCUCUUAGUUCCCCAUCCUCCUCUAUUCUCAUCUGAAGCCCUCCAACCAUCUCUUGUGAAACCAAAAACAGCUUAUUUUAAAUCUAAUUGACAUUGUGGGAAGGCUAUCAAAGUGUAAAUUCUUGACAUAAACUGUAGGGGCACAACAAAUGCAAAACAAAAUGAGGUCAAAUCAAAAAGGAACAAAUUCCAAUUAGUCCCUUCAAAGCAAUCUUGAUUUUGAGUUUUGAAUUUUGGAGGUUCUUCUUGCCAGCUCCCAUGGAACUGAAAGAAGUUAACUCAUCUCACUUCUGACAGUUCCCAGUCAUUUCUGGUGUCUCAGAUGCUUGGAAGGCUUUCCUGCAGCCUGCUCCUCUCUACCAGGUGGGUCAUUCCAUUCUGACCACCCAAAUAUGCUUUAUAUUUUGAACUUUACAGCAACUGAAGGCAGGGAGCACAGUGCGGUGCUCUUUCCAUGUUGUAUUCAGAGAGCAGUGUUUUGGAAAAGCCAAUUGUUUCGUGUUGCUGGGUUGUUGGCAUAGAUCUCAUGUGGAGAACAUGGGCUCGGCAUCCUUUCCUGGCUUCGAACAUUGAUACUCCCCAGUCUCUCCUAGCAGUGAUUUCUCAUGGACUUCCAUACAUCGUUGCUAGGGCUUCUGCAUCACUUGUGGGGAAUUAUUUUUUACCUUAUAUCUGACCUCUCUAUCCUAAGCAGUGGCUAUCAGUAUGAUAACUAAGGAAAUUAUUCCAUGGAUCCUUUAGAGAUGGGAACAAAAUGGGCGGUUUCCUCUUAAUGUAAGAUGGCCAUGAGUCAGGUAUGGGGUAUGUUUUCACUGUGCUGUCUUUCUGUGAGAGCUGGGGUAGGAUGGAGCAUGCACAAGACCAGUUGUCCAACGUUUUUGUACUUUUGAUGCUUGUGUGGAAGAUGAGGCACUCCUCCCAGGCCUGCUGGACCAAUUGAUCUUGAACUGAAAACCUUUGGGAUUUGGGGUGUUAGCACAUUUUUUCCCUGAAGGACAAAAAAAGAUUAGGCAGAAGGAGAUGAGAUUUUUAAGACCGGUGUGGUUAUAGACAUUUGUCUCUGUACUUUUUGCUUUGCCUAGGGGCUCUUCCGUACAGAGGAGACAGCAAACGAUACCCGAAACUGAUUAAUGCUGGAUUUCUCCGUGCUGGCAGCAGCAUGCUAAAGGCUUUGCUGGUGCCUGAUGGAGCUGGCCUUGAUUCUUCUGCUGCACUCGUGCACUUUUUCAUGGAGAUCUUUAUGGCUAUACAUAAGGUGUACUAUAUAAAUGUGUUUCUGUUUUUAUCUGAGUGGUACCUGAGUGUGUGCAGAUGACGUCUGAACCGUGUCAAGAAGUGAAUUUACAGAAAAGAGCAGUGGAUAGACUACUCUGGGCUUUCUCCUCAGUAACCUACAAGAACUAAAUUUGCAUCAGAGACUUUGUAGUGGAAUCGUCAUCCUGCUAUGACUUGCUUUUUUAGCUGUUGGUGUUUUUUUUUUUUUUUACUACUAUUUCUUUGCUGUGUUGACUUUUGCUUUGAUAGGUAUUUUUUUAUAAACAACGUUAAUCUUUUUUUUUUUUUUUUUUUUUUUCUUUGCUUAUUCUAACAGUGGCUUUUCUAGGUAGAUUUUCAAUAUGUUUUUAUCUUUUUGGAACCUGGAUGUGCUUUUCUCUAACUGUUUAGCUGUAGCAAAAUAUUCCUCCCGACCUAUCCAGCAAUUCCAGCAAUCCAAAGCAGGGAUUAAAGGAAAGGUUCACAUUUGAGAGUAAAUCACAGCUAAAGAAAUCCAGACCGCUGUUGGGUUCUCUGUUGAGGCCUUUGAAGAUGCAGCCUAAAACUCUUUUUAACUACUUGGCUCUGUCAGCUACGAGGGGGUCAUCAUCUACUAUUUCCAAAUGGUUAGCAGAUAAAGUCUUACGGGCUUGGAGCAAGCCCAAUUGUAUGGUGAGUCAAUUUAUGGAGAAGUAUCUCUUGUAUCAGUAGUUAAAAUUUUAUUACAGAUGGCUCAGAUACUGAGCUUGAUUUAUUCUUUAUAUCUCAGUUAGUGACAUGAGUGAAUUGUCUACAGAAAGGCCACGUUGUAGUUAUUACAAAAUAAAGGGCAAGUAGCAAAGGUAGCUGCUUCAUUGUGGCCCAUAUCUCUUCUUAUUUUCAGCAGCACAGAGAAUGUGGAAAUAAAACCAGACUUUUCUUGGGCUGUUGCUGCAACUCUGCCACCUUUGAUUGUACCUAAGGAAGUGCUUGAAGGUACUUGAAAACUUGAAGAAAAAAUUUGAAGAAAACUUGAAGGUUCAAAAUGUCUGUUCUACAUUCCAACAAUUUUUUUUUCACCUGCUGAUAGUAUAUGACCUGAUUCCAUCCUUGUCUAUAACUAUGAGGCCUCGCUUUAAGUCAUGCAAGGCAAAGAGAAGGAAAUCUUAAUGAUUUGAGUUUGGUUGUGUAUUAUUAGACUUGUUUAGAACUGAAAAUUCCUUGCACUUCUGGAAGCUGAAAGCCUGUCAUUUGCUGGGAGACACUCAACUAUUUGCACUGCAUCUACCUCCAGGAAAAAAAAAAGAUAAAUUUCUUAAAAUCAAAUAGAAAAACUCCUAUAUUCACCAUCAUUUUUCCUCUCUUCUAAGAUGAAAAUGCAUAGCGAUCUAUGCAGAAUCCCUUGUAGAACACGUAAUCUAUUUUAAACAAAACCUAAGAAUGUACUGGGAUUAUAAAAUUAGACAGAAAAUGUUACGCU
Molecule: long non-coding RNA, 5754 nt
Filed under: Gallus gallus (chicken)
Lineage: Eukaryota; Metazoa; Chordata; Aves; Galliformes; Phasianidae
Source: RNAcentral